Eucalyptus grandis is the source of this 497-nucleotide long non-coding RNA. RefSeq lists it as uncharacterized. The transcript has 2 exons. The record is from RefSeq and is a predicted model, not a curated record. Lineage: Eukaryota; Viridiplantae; Streptophyta; Magnoliopsida; Myrtales; Myrtaceae.
GCGGGAAUCAGAGGGAGCGAGAUCGCGAGAGGGCUCAAGCCAGGAGUGGUCAGAAGCCCAAGCAGCCCAAAGGCGACGGCUUGACUCCCGAGCAGCGGCGCGAAAGGGAUGCGAAGGCAUUGAAAGAGAAGGCGGCGAGGAAAGCAGCGCAGGUGGCUGCUGGAGGGAUCAAUGCAGGCGGUGGUGGUGGGAAAGCCAACAACAAGAAAUGACAAUUGGGAUGGAUAUAGGGAAAACUAGAACUGGGUCAGAUCUGUGGUGUUUCUUUGGUUAUGGGGUCAUCAUUACCAUGUCGUUUUGAGUUUGAAGAAAUGUCAUAGGAUGUUCUCUUUCUUGAAGGACAUUGAUGUUGGCUUCUGAACAGCGUCUGAUUUGGAGGGAAAGCAUUCUUCCCCGCUGUAUAAUGGAACUACUGAUGUUGUGUGCUCUUCAAUUGUGACUGGUUGUGCAUGCCUAAUUUUAGAAUAAUGAUGCAUGAUUAGGCAAUUGACCUUUAA